Molecule: RNA transcript, 6638 nt
Organism: Mus musculus (house mouse)
Lineage: Eukaryota; Metazoa; Chordata; Mammalia; Rodentia; Muridae
Gene: Oacyl
Gene name: O-acyltransferase like
Exons: 15
Source: RefSeq, marked provisional
UAUAUGGGAGCCUUCUGGGAGGCUGCUAAGAAUUCUACAGAUAGGGUGUCCUGAGAGACCAAAGGAAUCAAAGGGACACUGGGGAGAGUGUGUGCCUAUAUAUACACGUGUACACAUGUAUAUAGGCAAGACCGGAAGCCUAGGGUACUAGAAGAUGCUCUAAGCAUUAGCAGAACGCGUAACCGAGUCACUGUUACCCACAGGAUGUAUUUCUGCAGCAUAAAUGAGAUGUAUGGAUGUGUGGCCCUUGGAGUGAAGACGCGGCCGUUAUUAUUUAAAGACAGCCUUUCUGCAGUGAGACUGUUUACCUCGUGAUCCACACAUUCUGUUUUCUGGGAGCACAGUGAAGAGUCAGCGUGACUUCCUCUCCCGGAUGUGUGUUUGAGUGUGAGUGGGCGUGCAUCUGCCUGGAGCAAGAGCUCCUUCCCGUGGGCACGAGCGUCAGAGUCCAGUAAAUCUGUAAAGAGUUGUAUAACCUUUGCCCUAUUUCCAUUACCAUUCUGCCAAACGUUUUACAGGCUGGAUUUAUCAUCGUGCUUGAGCAAAACCCAAGUAUUGCUGCUGCACGUCAUCAUCAACGUGUUUUUGUUUUUAAACCCAGAGGGACAUAGGAGGCCAGAGAGAAUCCGAGCCUGAUUCUUGUGAGCUGGAUGUGUUAAUCUGCAUAACUAAAGGGAGCCAGGUGGCCAGUGGCGCCACAUCCACAGCCCUGACCCACUCAACAAUAACAAAUUGUAUAUAAACUGGUUUCCAUGGUUUAUCUGUCCGCUUUGCAGGUGGCUGAGGAGAUGCGGUUUGUCUCUUGGCUUGUUAAGGGGUGAGAGGUGUCACAUUUACACCCCCCCCAACACAUUAUAGACAAGGGCUUCAUAAAUAUUAGGCUCUUUGUCUGAGAAGGGAAAGCCGAUCCUGACAGGUUGAGAAAUGAUGGCCCUCACUUCGCUAGCUUGCCUGCACGCUCUGUUCCCCUUUGUUUCUCCUGCAAGAAACAUUUCUCUCAAGUGCAUGCAAGAUACUGACGAAUUCCUUUCUGAUCUGAACUCACUGAAGCCCAAAGAAUACGCUCUGAGAAUGUAUGACUCGGUGGGGAAGCUUGGAAGCAACGUUCUUACCGGCAACGUGGACAGGCUGGGAUCCUACAGCGAGUGCCUUUCCACCCGGAGCCCCAAGGGGAGUUUCCGGGGGCAGUACUGCAAGCUUCAUAUCCUUCAGGAUGGAACAGACUAUAGUGUGGGCGUGUGUGUCCCUGAUUCUUGUGCUGAAGAGGACGUGACCAUGAUGUCUCAGCUGGACAAACCAUCUUUCUUUGACCUGUACACACAUCAUGCCUCCUUGGAUUGUAGACACACCAUGUCUCCUUGUCCUACAAAGAUUUCACUCUUCCUUGGUACUCUCAAGUUCAGAAACACGUCAUUCUUGGAACCUUCCCUCUCCCUCUUUACAAAAGACUCUUCCUCAUCUUGUGAAGUUGUGGCCAGAUGUGCAGCUGGGGCCAUGAGUCCAGAUAUGUUUGCUUCCGUGUGCCUGUUCAUCACCUUGCUAGGCCUCGUCCUUCCUGUGGCUGGAACUGUUUACAUGGUGGCCAGGGACUGGGGCUUGGACCUCAGGACAUCGUCUGUACAUGGGACUCCUCCUACCAGUUGUGAGAGUCUGCCUUUGCGAAACAUGGAGAGCAACAGGCAAAGAAGCAGGGCCAGUUGCCAAGUUCAGCUCCCUCCUCCAGGAGCCCCAAGCAGAGGAAGAAGGUUUCUAGGAGCCGUGGAUGAAGUUCUGCAGUGCUUUUCUUGGCAGAAGAACAUGCCAGCCAUCUGCAGCCCAGAACUUCCAGGAGGCACCUGCCGGACACUAAAUGGGAUCCGAGUCCUGAGUCUCCUCUGGGUUAUCUCUGGACACACCAGUCAGAUGACAGCUUGGCUAUCUUUGGAUAAUGUGCUCGAAUGGAAAUCCAGAGUGCCCGAGAACCCACUGUACCUCUACUCUCGGAGUGGCCCAUUCUAUCUCGGGGUGGAUACAUUUUUCCUCAUCAGUGGUUGGCUAAGUGCAAGGUCAUUUCUAAAGAUGCACCAGAACACCAGCACAGGAAUAACUCCUAAAGUCAUCCUCAGAUACUUUCUGAAACGUUUUACAAGGUUGCAGCUCCUUCAUAUGUACUCUGUGUGCUUGCUGGUUGGUUUCUUCUCUUUUGUUCCCUGGGGACCUGUCUGGGAAGUGGCCCAGUUCCACUGGGAUAACUGCCGGGAGGUUUGGUGGACGAAUCUGCUGUUGCUGAAUAACUUCCUGUCUGUCCAGAAUGCCGAGGAGCCGAGCUGCAGACUCUCAACAGCCCCGCACCUGGAGGGGAGGAGUCACAGUUACUUCUCUCCCCUCCCCCGCAGUGCAAUGGCUGGACUUGGUACCUCGCCAGCGACUUCCAGUUCCACCUGACGACACCGCUGAUCUUCUUCGUCCAUGGAAAGUGGGUCUGAGACUUUUCUUUUCCCUCAGGGGUCCUUUGGCCUGGAACUCCCAGCUACACUCCAGUUUUGUAGGAAGCAGCUUUUAAGAAGUUAGCAAAUUAACUUUCCAGAAAUGGAGACGCCACUCCCCUCUCUCCUGCCCUCCUUCCUGUGCCCUCCUUCCUGUGCCCUCUUCCAGACGCACAUGCAUUAGUGCAUCUCCCCAGAUUUAUCACCAGGGUGUGCAACACCCGUGCUCAGCAUUUUCCAUCCCAGCCGUUCACAUAAACAGGUUCACAUAUUGACAUGACACACACACCUGACAGUUUCCUGGAUUUAUAUUCCAUUUUUUUAAUGGUUGGGUAUCUAGACGGUGCCCGAUUUUUCACGAUUAUAAAUGGCCCCGUGAUGACUGCCUUUGAACACUCUACUUUUCCUUGUAGCUGUUUCCACGGGAACAUAUUUCCACAGGGACAUAUUUCUACGUGGAAUUACCAGGUCAAAGGGCGGCAGUGAUUCCUUAGAGCUUGUUACCUGCCGGGAGAUUGCUCCUUGGAAAGCAGGGUGUAAUUUAUAGUGCUCCCAGCAAUGUAUCAAUGUACCUGCUGCCCCACGGCUUGUAUUUAUCGCCUUAAUUUUGUUAGCUUUAGAAACACUUUACAGUCUCAAUAAUUCACGGGGAGAUUUAUAGUGUGCUAUUAUUUUUUUAAGAAAGGUAUUUAUUGUUCUUUCUCAUUAAAAUAUGUGUUCCAUUUAGGAAACAUUAGAAUUAAGAGAAAGGAAAAUAUUCACGCUAGUCUAUCACUCAUGGCAAACUCGGUACAAUGUUAAGGCUCUGGAGCUGGCUUUGCGUCCUUUUUUUUCCCUUGCCCAGUGUUUUAAAGAUGAAAGCAUGCUUGCCUCUCCACAUCUUUUAAAAAUAGUAUUUAAACCCACAUUUUACUAUAUUAUUUUACUAACUGUGAACAAAAUUGUAAUGUCUACCUCACAUCCAAUUUCCUGAAUGAAGUAUAAUUGACUGGUGCCUUCUUCCAUUGCAAUAUACUUAGAUUAUUUCCAGUCUUAUGUUUUCAUAAAUAAGUCCCCACGAAUACUUUUGUGACAACCAUUGGUUGCCAACUUCUGGGUUUCUUCAGAAUGCACAUUCUGGGGGGAAAUUAGUGGGUCAAAGGGCACACAUGUCUUACAGCCCUUGAACGCAAUGGGAAACUACUUUAAAAACAAACAAAAAACCCCAAACACAAGAGUGUCCCACAUUUCUGAGCCAUGGCAGAUCUUCACAGCCCUGAUUCUGCCUGGUUCUCCACUGAGUAUCCAGAUCAGAGUGUCUGACUUAGAGGCUGUGUCCUCAGACCUUUUCCUUGUCACAGAAUCCCACAGUAUGAUAGCUGGGAUUUCUUUAUGUGCCACCUCAGAGUGUACAGGAAUUAGUGUGUGUAACCACCAAUAGAACAGAAGAUACUGGGGAAAUACCUUUUUUUUUCCCCCUACACUCCUCAGAGAGUUCUGAGGCAUAUUACAUAAAGCUAUAGAACGUUCUGGAAGAAUUGAGUGCUGGCCACCUCAACAGCUGAUCUUGUAUUGGCUCUCCCUUCCUUCCCCUCUCCCACACUGUCACAUAAACCUCCCACAGUUAGACAUUUCUCUCAGGUUUGGCUUAUGCUAGCAAGGAGAGCUGGGUUCUCCUCCCAUCUCUAUUGUCCCUCCCCUUCCCUGGAGUGGGUGGCUGUGUCCAAUCUGCGUCCCAUCCUCCCUUAAAUAAAUCAUUUCUCUCUUUAGUCAACCACCACUGAUGUCCUUAUAGUAUUCUGUAGAGGCCAGGCGAUGUUCGCAGGAACGGUCUUCCUUUGAGCCAUAGUGUAAGCUUUUGGGGUGAAAGCAGACAAGGGCACUGUUAGUAUCCCCAUUUAGAAGAGGAACUCAACUUUUAAGUUCCUGUCCACAGUCUCACUGCUGGUCAGUGGUCAAGGUCAGGCAGUCCAGGAACUCCUAGCCAACCCAGUUUUUCAUUCGUGCUGUGAUGGAGACCACUGAAAGGCGUCCCUUCUCUGCCCUCUUUUCUGCAGAAGUAAACGUGUCUUCGUCCUUCUCGGGGGCCUGCUGUUCCUGGCCUCUUCCACAGCCACCACUCUGCUCACCUUGGCUUAUAAACUUCCAGUGGCAUCUCCAGCAGCAGCCAGUGAACAUGGGACUGUGCUCUAUUUCUCAGAGUAUUACACCAAGCCCUACUGCCGCUGUGGCCCCUUCCUUGUGGGCCUCUUCCUGAGCAUGUUCAUGCAUUCAGACCACCCUACAGACAUUCUCAAAACGACGGUGCAGGCCAUGCUGGGCUGGACUUGGUCUCUGCUGACCCUGUUUGCAGUUGUUGCCCUGGCUUAUGUACUGGACGAUACCUCUCCAACCUCUUCCGUAGCUGCUGCCAUCUACCAGGCCCUCCAUCGUACCCUGUGGGCAGCAGCUGUGGGCUGGGUCAUCUUUGCCUGUCAGGAAGGCUAUGGAGGUCCCGUGAAACGCAUGCUUUCUUGGGGCAUCUGGAGUCUCCCGGCCAGCAUAAGCUACGCUUGCUACCUCGUACACCCCAUUGUCAUCAUUCUCUAUAACGGACUGCAGGAGACCCUUAUUCACUACACGGACACCAACAUGCUCUAUCUUUUCUUCGGACACUGUGUGCUGACCUUCCUCGGUGGGCUGGUCCUGACCCUGUUCAUCGAGCGACCCUGGCAGGAACUGAAGUGGGGCCUGUGGGGACCAGAGCCUGCUAGGCCGUGAGCAUUCCAACUGAAACCCAAGAGAACCAUGGGCCCUCUGCUGGUGACAAACAGAGGCAGUGAGCACUGUGGUUCUUGGAACGUGAAUCUGAUUUUGUGAACAUUUACUGUGUACGUUGUAGACAGAUAACCUUUGCUCUCUAGAGAAAGCAAUUCUAUAAUGAAUCUUUUGGUACUUGUACAAUAAUCUCUUUAUCUUGGCUUGGAUUUGAUUUUCUGUAUCAGUAACUGACCAUAGUGUUAAAGUAUUAAAAUGGAGACCAGACCCAAAGCAUAAAAAGGCACACAGUCAUGGUCUUUCUCCUACGUGACCUUAGCUUUGCAUGAUUUGAAAACAAAAAAAGUUUUUUUAAAAAAGAUUUAUUUAUUUAUUAUAUGUGAUAUAAACUACUUUAAAUAGAUUUGUAUAUUAAAGAAAACCAAAACAAACUCAACCAAUCCAUGGCAGCCAAAAUUUUAUAUAACUAGGGACUCUCCAAUGGGAAGAGGCCAAAUAAACAGCUGUGGAGCUGUAACCAAUCACGUUGGCUUGGCGUUUAUGCCUCCCUAAUGAGUUAGUUCCCACCUGAAGUGCCUGGGCCACACAGGGGUUGGAGCUGCCCAGCAACAACUGGUGUUUGCUCAGAUACACUGUAACCCUUUAAGGUGCCUCAGCUGACACUUUAACGUUAAGCAGUUACCUAAUGUAGUACAGGUAUCAUAAUCUAAGUCUUGAAGCUCAUGAGGUUUAUAACGCUGUUAUUCUCACGAAAGUCACGUGACAUAGCUUUCUAUAACAUGCUAUAGUAGUCCCCGUACCUCCAAGUGUUGUCUUUUUAGAGAGAAUGAUUUCCAGGGUCAUUGAGGUCACCGAGGUAAGGAGGCCCCAGGUGAAUGACCCACAGUGUCCUUGUAAAAAGAGACACACACAGAGGGGCGAUGAAAUGCAGACACUGAAUGAAGAUGACCAACCAUCUUCCAUCUCAGGAAGGACCAAACACUUCGGGAAGCUGUGAGAAGCCUAUUUUAGAGCUCUAGAGAAGAUCUACACACACACACACACACACACACACACACACACACACACGACAUCUGGCUGCCAGCAGUGUGAGACAGACAGACAUUUCUGUUGUUUUGAGCCACUUAGUUGUAGUAUUUUGUUAGAGCAUUCCUAGGAAGCUAGAGCGCUCUUCUUACUCUACACCGGGUACAUCUCAGGAGUCCCCCCAUGGAUGGAUGGUGGAAGCUGCGGACUAUCAGCCCCUGUGUGUCCUGUUUUUCUGUAUUCAUUUAUGCUUAUGAUAAAGUGUAACUUGUAAAUUAGGCAAAGGAAGAAAUAAACAACUACUAAUAGUAAAUAACUCACAUUAGAAUGAUUAUAAUAUACUGUGUAACUUUGUAAGCAAUAUACUGCAAUAAAUGUUUUGCGACUGUGGCCCCUCCCCUCUUAAAGAAA